UUACUGCUAAGACUGGAUAGGAGAUAAGAAGGCAUCUUUUUAUUUUUAAAGACCUAGCAAUAGGUAUGCUUAGGGAAGAGCUUGCGUCACAUUAGUUAGUUGGUGGGGUAAUGGCCUACCAAGACGAUGAUGUGUAGCCGGGCUGAGAGGUCGAACGGCCACAUUGGGACUGAGACACGGCCCAAACUCCUACGGGAGGCAGCAGUAAGGAAUUUUCGGCAAUGGAGGAAACUCUGACCGAGCAAUGCCGCGUGAACGAUGAAGUAUUUCGGUACGUAAAGUUCUUUUAUUAGGGAAGAAAAGAUGGUGGAAAAACCAUUAUGACGGUACCUAAUGAAUAAGCCCCGGCUAACUAUGUGCCAGCAGCCGCGGUAAUACAUAGGGGGCAAGCGUUAUCCGGAAUUAUUGGGCGUAAAGGGUGCGUAGGCGGUUAAAUAAGUUUAUGGUCUAAGUGCAACGCUCAACGUUGUGAUGCUAUAAAAACUGUUUAGCUAGAGUUGGAUAGAGGCAAGUGGAAUUCCGUGUGUAGUGGUAAAAUGCGUAAAUAUACGGAGGAACACCAGAAGCGAAGGCGGCUUGCUGGGUCUUAACUGACGCUGAGGCACGAAAGCGUGGGGAGCAAACAGGAUUAGAUACCCUGGUAGUCCACGCCCUAAACGAUGAGUACUAAACGUUGGAUAAAACCAGUGUUGAAGUUAACACAUUAAGUACUCCGCCUGAGUAGUACGUACGCAAGUAUGAAACUUAAAGGAAUUGACGGGACUCCGCACAAGCGGUGGAUCAUGUUGUUUAAUUCGAAGGUACCCGAAAAACCUCACCAGGUCUUGACAUGCUUUUGCAAAGCUGUAGAAAUACAGUGGAGGUUAUCAGAAGCACAGGUGGUGCAUGGUUGUCGUCAGCUCGUGUCGUGAGAUGUUGGGUUAAGUCCCGCAACGAGCGCAACCCUUGUUGUUAAUUGCCAUCAUUAAGUUGGGGACUUUAGCAAGACUGCCAAUGAUAAAUUGGAGGAAGGUGGGGACGACGUCAAAUCAUCAUGCCCCUUAUGACCUGGGCUACAAACGUGAUACAAUGGCUGUUACAAAGGGUAGCUAAAGCGUAAGCUUCUGGCGAAUCUCAAAAAAGCAGUCUCAGUUCGGAUUGAAGUCUGCAACUCGACUUCAUGAAGUUGGAAUCGCUAGUAAUCGCGAAUCAGCAUGUCGCGGUGAAUACGUUCUCGACUAA
This 1221-nucleotide ribosomal RNA is filed under the name Candidatus Phytoplasma solani. RNAcentral describes it as "bacterial SSU rRNA". It matches the Rfam family "Bacterial small subunit ribosomal RNA", at positions 157 to 1381 of the family's 1533-position model. The record is from RNAcentral. Lineage: Bacteria; Bacillati; Mycoplasmatota; Mollicutes; Acholeplasmatales; Acholeplasmataceae.